Molecule: ribosomal RNA, 253 nt
Filed under: uncultured bacterium
Lineage: Bacteria
Description: partial 16S ribosomal RNA
Rfam family: Bacterial small subunit ribosomal RNA
Source: RNAcentral
GACAGAGGCCUCAAGCGUUAGGCGGAAUCACUGGGCUUAAAGCGUGUGUAGGCGGAUGCCUAAGUACCUUGUGAAAUCCCACGGCUCAACCGUGGAACUGCUGGGUAUACUGGGCGUCUUGGGCCAUUCAGGGGCGACUGGAACAAGCGGUGGAGCGGUGAAAUGCGUAGAUAUCGGAAGGAACACCGGUGGCGAAAGCGGCGCGCUGGAUCCCUUCUGACGCUGAGGCGCGAAAGCCAGGGGAGCGAACGGG